Molecule: ribosomal RNA, 413 nt
Filed under: uncultured eukaryote
Lineage: Eukaryota
Description: bacterial SSU rRNA
Rfam family: Bacterial small subunit ribosomal RNA
Source: RNAcentral
GUGCCAGCAGCCGCGGUAAGACGGAGGAUGCAAGUGUUAUCCGGAAUCACUGGGCGUAAAGCGUCUGUAGGUGGUUUAAUAAGUCAACUGUUAAAUCUUGAGGCUCAACUUCAAAAUCGCAGUCGAAACUAUUAGACUAGAGUAUAGUAGGGGUAAAGGGAAUUUCCAGUGGAGCGGUGAAAUGCGUAGAGAUUGGAAAGAACACCGAUGGCGAAGGCACUUUACUGGGCUAUUACUAACACUCAGAGACGAAAGCUAGGGUAGCAAAUGGGAUUAGAUACCCCAGUAGUCCUAGCUGUAAACAAUGGAUACUAGAUGUUGAACAGAUCGACCUGUGCAGUAUUAAAGCUAACGCGUUAAGUAUCCCGCCUGGGAAGUAUGCUCGCAAGAGUGAAACUCAAAUGAAUUGACGG